Molecule: non-coding RNA, 29 nt
Filed under: Rattus norvegicus (Norway rat)
Lineage: Eukaryota; Metazoa; Chordata; Mammalia; Rodentia; Muridae
Source: RNAcentral
UUGCCUCAGCAUCAAGUAGGUUGCCGUGA